AGAACGAACGCUGGCGGCAUGCCUAACACAUGCAAGUCGAACGCUCUCUUCGGAGGGAGUGGCGCACGGGUGAGUAACGCGUGGGAACCUGCCUUGGAGUGGGGGAUAACCGAUGGAAACGUCGGCUAAAUACCGCAUACGUCCUGAGGGAGAAAGAUUUAUCGCUCUGAGAGGGGCCCGCGUCGGAUUAGCUAGUUGGUGGGGUAACGGCCUACCAAGGCGAUGAUCCGUAGUUGGUCUGAGAGGAUGAUCAGCCACACUGGGACUGAGACACGGCCCAGACUCCUACGGGAGGCAGCAGUGGGGAAUAUUGGACAAUGGGCGCAAGCCUGAUCCAGCAAUGCCGCGUGAGUGAUGACGGCCUUAGGGGUUGUAAAGCUCUUUCGGCGGGGACGAUGAUGACGGUACCCGCAGAAGAAGCCCCGGCUAACUUCGCGCCAGCAGCCGC
This 448-nucleotide ribosomal RNA is filed under the name uncultured bacterium. Its description in RNAcentral is "SSU rRNA". It matches the Rfam family "Bacterial small subunit ribosomal RNA", at positions 26 to 518 of the family's 1533-position model. The record is from RNAcentral.